UCCUUGGUGGUUCAGGGUUAGGACUCGGCACUCUCAUAGCUGAGGCACGGGUUUGAUUCCUGGUCAGGGAA
This 71-nucleotide transfer RNA is filed under the name Ovis aries (sheep). It matches the Rfam family "tRNA". Rfam says of the family: Transfer RNA (tRNA) molecules are approximately 80 nucleotides in length. Their secondary structure includes four short double-helical elements and three loops (D, anti-codon, and T loops). Further hydrogen bonds mediate the characteristic L-shaped molecular structure. tRNAs have two regions of fundamental functional importance: the anti-codon, which is responsible for specific mRNA codon recognition, and the 3' end, to which the tRNAs corresponding amino acid is attached (by aminoacyl-tRNA synthetases). tRNAs cope with the degeneracy of the genetic code in two manners: having more than one tRNA (with a specific anti-codon) for a particular amino acid; and 'wobble' base-pairing, i.e. permitting non-standard base-pairing at the 3rd anti-codon position. The record is from Rfam by way of RNAcentral. Lineage: Eukaryota; Metazoa; Chordata; Mammalia; Artiodactyla; Bovidae.